RNAcentral lists this long non-coding RNA (446 nucleotides) under Homo sapiens (human). RNAcentral describes it as "long non-coding RNA NONHSAT254636". The record is from RNAcentral. Lineage: Eukaryota; Metazoa; Chordata; Mammalia; Primates; Hominidae.
GUGAGCCCAGGAGGCGGAGCUUGCAGUGAGCCAAGAUCAAGCCACUGCACUCCAGCCUGGGUGACAGAGCGAGACUCCGUCUCAAAAAAAAAAAAAAAACAAAUUUAGUAUCUCCCAAAGGAAGCUUGGCAAGUCCUUUUCAUUCUCUUUAGAAUUUAUAGAAUAUAGCCUGGCGUGGUGGCUCAUACCUAUAAUCCCAUUACUUUGGGAGGUCAAGGCAGGAGGAUCACUUGAGGUCAGGAGUUCAAGACCAGACUGGCCAACAUGGUGAAACACCAUCUCUACCAAAAAGUACAAAAAUUAGCCGGGCAUGGUGGCAUGCACCUGUAGUCUUGGCUACGCCGGAGGCUGAGGCAGGAGAAUCGCUUGAACCCCAGAGGUGGAGGUUGCAUUGAGCUGGGAUUGCACCACUGCAUUCCAACUUGGGAGACAGAGCAAGACUCCAU